GACGGAGGGUGCAAGCGUUGUUCGGAAUCACUGGGCGUAAAGCGCGUGUAGGCGGUUUGAUAGGUCGAAUGUGAAAGCCCGAGGCUCAACCUCGGAAGUGCAUUCGAAACUGUCAGGCUUGAGUACGGGAGAGGGAAGUGGAAUUCCUGGUGUAGAGGUGAAAUUCGUAGAUAUCAGGAGGAACACCGGUGGCGAAGGCGGCUUCCUGGACCGAUACUGACGCUGAGAAGCGAAAGCGUGGGGAGCAAACAGG
RNAcentral lists this ribosomal RNA (253 nucleotides) under uncultured bacterium. RNAcentral describes it as "partial 16S ribosomal RNA". It matches the Rfam family "Bacterial small subunit ribosomal RNA", at positions 524 to 776 of the family's 1533-position model. The record is from RNAcentral.